Molecule: ribosomal RNA, 433 nt
Filed under: uncultured bacterium
Lineage: Bacteria
Description: partial 16S ribosomal RNA
Rfam family: Bacterial small subunit ribosomal RNA
Source: RNAcentral
AACGAACGCUGGCGGCAUGCCUAACACAUGCAAGUCGAACGAGACCUUCGGGUCUAGUGGCGCACGGGUGCGUAACGCGUGGGAACCUGCCCUUAGGUUCGGAAUAACUCCCCGAAAGGGGUGCUAAUACCGGAUAAUGUCUUCGGACCAAAGAUUUAUCGCCUUUGGAUGGGCCCGCGUUGGAUUAGGUAGUUGGUAGGGUAAAAGCCUGCCAAGGCGACGAUCCAUAGCUGGUUUGAGAGGAAGGUCAGCCACACUGGGACUGAGACACGGCCCAGACUCCUACGGGAGGGAGCAGUGGGGAAUGUUGGACCAUGGGCGAAGGCCUGAUCCAGCACUGCCGCGUGAGUGAUGAAGGCCUUAGGGUUGUAAAGCUCUUUUAACCGGGAUGGUAAUGACGGUACCGGGAGAAUAAGCCCCGGCUAACUACGUG